UGGGGAAUAUUGGACAAUGGGCGCAAGCCUGAUCCAGCCAUGCCGCGUGAGUGAUGAAGGCCUUAGGGUUGUAAAGCUCUUUUACCAGGGACGAUAAUGACGGUACCUGGAGAAUAAGCCCCGGCUAACUUCGUGCCAGCAGCCGCGGUAAUACGAAGGGGGCUAGCGUUGUUCGGAAUCACUGGGCGUAAAGCGCACGUAGGCGGACCUUUAAGUCAGAGGUGAAAGCCCGGGGCUCAACUCCGGAAUUGCCUUUGAUACUGGGGGUCUUGAGUAUGGUAGAGGUUGGUGGAAUUGCGAGUGUAGAGGUGAAAUUCGUAGAUAUUCGCAAGAACACCAGUGGCGAAGGCGGCCAACUGGACCAUAACUGACGCUGAGGUGCGAAAGCGUGGGGAGCAAA
RNAcentral lists this ribosomal RNA (400 nucleotides) under uncultured bacterium. RNAcentral describes it as "bacterial SSU rRNA". It matches the Rfam family "Bacterial small subunit ribosomal RNA", at positions 355 to 772 of the family's 1533-position model. The record is from RNAcentral.